Molecule: transfer RNA, 72 nt
Filed under: Bacteroidota bacterium
Lineage: Bacteria; Pseudomonadati; Bacteroidota
Description: Bacteroidetes bacterium tRNA-Glu
Rfam family: tRNA
About the family: Transfer RNA (tRNA) molecules are approximately 80 nucleotides in length.
Source: RNAcentral
AGCCCGUUCGUCUAGCGGUGAGGACGCAGGAAUUUCAUUCCUGAAACAUGGGUUCGAUUCCCGUACGGGCUG